RNAcentral lists this ribosomal RNA (482 nucleotides) under uncultured bacterium. RNAcentral's name for it is "partial 16S ribosomal RNA". It matches the Rfam family "Bacterial small subunit ribosomal RNA", at positions 30 to 507 of the family's 1533-position model. The record is from RNAcentral.
AUUGAACGCUGGCGGCAUGCUUUACACAUGCAAGUCGAACGGUAACAGGCCGCAAGGUGCCGCCGAGUGGCGAACGGGUGAGUAAUGCAUCGGAACGUGCCCAGUCGUGGGGGAUAACUACUCGAAAGAGUAGCUAAUACCGCAUACGAUCUAUGGAUGAAAGCGGGGGACCGUAAGGCCUCGCGCGAUUGGAGCGGCCGAUGUCAGAUUAGGUAGUUGGUGGGGUAAAGGCUCACCAAGCCAACGAUCUGUAGCUGGUCUGAGAGGACGACCAGCCACACUGGGACUGAGACACGGCCCAGACUCCUACGGGAGGCAGCAGUGGGGAAUUUUGGACAAUGGGCGCAAGCCUGAUCCAGCAAUGCCGCGUGCAGGAAGAAGGCCUUCGGGUUGUAAACUGCUUUUGUACGGAACGAAACGGCUCUGGUUAAUACCCGGGGCUAAUGACGGUACCGGAAGAAUAAGCACCGGCUAACUACGUG